CCUUCCUCCAUCCUGCCCGCCCUCCCCAAGCCUCCUUUGGGGGCCAGAUGGCCAUGCGGCUCUGGCUGCAGGAGGUGGGGGCACAAGCCAGCUGUGUGUCUGAUUAACAGCAGGGGCUGGCAGAUGCAGCUUAUCUCGAGAGCACACAAAGGCAUGGGGUUGGACAGUUCUCCUCCCCACGGCUGUCUUCAAUUUGGAAAAAGAGCUCCUAAAUCUGGUGUCAUUUUCUCCUCCUGGCCUUUGGAUCACUCACUCCAGAAGACGACUCAUCGUCUUGCAGGUCCCCUGAGCGCCAUAGAGGUGGUCCCCUCCCAAAAAAGGAUGGAUUCUUUCCAAAGGGUAGGCCUGGCGCUGGAGAGGCGAGAUGGAGAGAGGCCUGAGGCCAGAUGCCCAGAGCCUCACUGAUGACUUCCAAGGAUGCAGAAGAGCAGAACAAGCCUGAGACAGCUGGCAGAGCCCUGCUCCUUGUGAGGACGUGGGCAGUGGGUUUGCUAUUCCCCCCAUCAGUGCAGAUCAGCUUCUGCUUUUCUACUUAGAGCCUUAGAGAGCUUCCCGCUGCACUAGGAGGUUAAGAGACUCACUCAGGG
RNAcentral lists this long non-coding RNA (587 nucleotides) under Vombatus ursinus (common wombat). RNAcentral's name for it is "lncRNA (ENSVURG00010011769.1)". The record is from RNAcentral. Lineage: Eukaryota; Metazoa; Chordata; Mammalia; Diprotodontia; Vombatidae.